Molecule: long non-coding RNA, 255 nt
Filed under: Mytilus galloprovincialis (Mediterranean mussel)
Lineage: Eukaryota; Metazoa; Mollusca; Bivalvia; Mytilida; Mytilidae
Source: RNAcentral
AAACUUGCCGCAUUUGUAAAUAGUGAUAUAACAAAAAUACCAAGCUCAAAGGAAAUUUCAAAAACGGAAAGCUCAAAUGACAAGAAACGCUCUAACACAUUAGAAACAAAUUCAACUUUCGGUUACAUUUUAAUAGUAGUAGUUGAUUUGACUUUUCGGUCACAACCUUAAAUAGUAGUAAAUAUGUCUUUUAAAUUACAAUGAUAACUUUAUUAUUUUAUCUCAAUUGUGCCUCAUGUAACUCUGUCAUUUUGA